This 247-nucleotide ribosomal RNA is filed under the name uncultured bacterium. RNAcentral's name for it is "partial 16S ribosomal RNA". It matches the Rfam family "Bacterial small subunit ribosomal RNA", at positions 337 to 601 of the family's 1533-position model. The record is from RNAcentral.
UCCUACGGGGCGCAGCAGUAGGGAAUAUUGCACAAUGGGGGAAACCCUGAUGCAGCAACGCCGCGUGGAGGAAGAAGGUCUUAGGAUUGUAAACUCCUUUCCUUGGGGACGAUAAUGACGGUAUCCAAGGAAGAAGCACCGGCUAACUACGUGCCAGCAGCCGCGGUAAAACGUAGGGUGCAAGCGUUAUCCGGAAUUACUGGGCGUAAAGGGAGCGCAGGCGGAUUGACAAGUUAGGAGUGAAAAC